UACGAGGGGUGCGAGCGUUGCUCGGAAUUAUUGGGCGUAAAGGGUAGGUAGGUGGUUUCGUUUGUCUGGGGUGAAAGCCUUGAGCUUAACUCAAGAAGUGCCUCGGAAACGGCGAAACUCGAGUACUGGAGAGGGUCGUGGAAUUCCCGGUGUAGCGGUGAAAUGCGUAGAUAUUGGGAGGAACACCAGUGGCGAAGGCGGCUCACUGGACCGGUACUGACGCUGAUGCGCGAAAGCGUGGGGAGCAAACGGG
Molecule: ribosomal RNA, 253 nt
Filed under: uncultured bacterium
Lineage: Bacteria
Description: partial 16S ribosomal RNA
Rfam family: Bacterial small subunit ribosomal RNA
Source: RNAcentral